This 559-nucleotide ribosomal RNA is filed under the name uncultured bacterium. Its description in RNAcentral is "partial 16S ribosomal RNA". It matches the Rfam family "Bacterial small subunit ribosomal RNA", at positions 355 to 905 of the family's 1533-position model. The record is from RNAcentral.
UGGGGAAUUUUGGACAAUGGGCGAAAGCCUGAUCCAGCAAUGCCGCGUGUGUGAAGAAGGCCUUCGGGUUGUAAAGCACUUUUGUCCGGAAAGAAAUCCUUGGCUCUAAUACAGUCGGGGGAUGACGGUACCGGAAGAAUAAGCACCGGCUAACUACGUGCCAGCAGCCGCGGUAAUACGUAGGGUGCAAGCGUUAAUCGGAAUUACUGGGCGUAAAGCGUGCGCAGGCGGUUUGCUAAGACCGAUGUGAAAUCCCCGGGCUCAACCUGGGGAACUGCAUUGGUGACUGGCAGGCUAGAGUAUGGCAGAGGGGGGUAGAAUUCCACGUGUAGCAGUGAAAUGCGUAGAGAUGUGGAGGAAUACCGAUGGCGAAGGCAGCCCCCUGGGCCAAUACUGACGCUCAUGCACGAAAGCGUGGGGAGCAAACAGGAUUAGAUACCCUGGUAGUCCACGCCCUAAACGAUGUCAACUAGUUGUUGGGGAUUCAUUUCCUUAGUAACGUAGCUAACGCGUGAAGUUGACCGCCUGGGGGAGUACGGUCGCAAGAUUAAAACUUAAA